UACGUAGGAUGCAAGCGUUGUCCGGAUUUACUGGGCGUAAAGCGUGCGCAGGCGGUUCGUUGUGUCGGUGGUGAAAUCCCCGGGCUUAACCUGGGAAUGGCCAUGGAAACUGGCGAACUGGAGUGCGGCAGAGGGGGGUGGAAUUCCGCGUGUAGCAGUGAAAUGCGUAGAGAUGCGGAGGAACACCGAUGGCGAAGGCAGCCCCCUGGGCUAGCACUGACGCUCAGGCACGAAAGCGUGGGGAGCAAACAGG
Molecule: ribosomal RNA, 253 nt
Filed under: uncultured bacterium
Lineage: Bacteria
Description: partial 16S ribosomal RNA
Rfam family: Bacterial small subunit ribosomal RNA
Source: RNAcentral